UACGGAGGGUGCAAGCGUUAAUCGGAAUUACUGGGCGUAAAGCGCGCGUAGGCGGCUGGGUAAGUCGAUUGUGAAAUCCCCGGGCUCAACCUGGGAAUUGCAGUCGAGACUGCCCGGCUAGAGUGUGGGAGAGGGUGGUGGAAUUCCCGGUGUAGCGGUGAAAUGCGUAGAUAUCGUAAGGAAGACCAGUGGCGAAGGCGGGUCUCUGGACAGUUCCUGACGCUGAGGCACGAAGGUCAGGGAGCAAACGGG
Molecule: ribosomal RNA, 252 nt
Filed under: uncultured bacterium
Lineage: Bacteria
Description: partial 16S ribosomal RNA
Rfam family: Bacterial small subunit ribosomal RNA
Source: RNAcentral